AUGGUUAUUCGCUUCAUAAUGCUGGGAUUUCGAUUCUCGUGAAUUUGAUUUUCAAGCUUAACCUGCGUCAACUUAAAAUAUUCAGAUAAAUUUCGAAAGCCCAUGAGAAUGAAUAUACAAGCAUGAACUUACUUACACACAAGCUCUUAAGUGAUGGACAACCAGAUAAAAGAUGUAGAAGAGGUUUUUUAGAGAUCCAUGUUUCGUUUAAGGUUAAGCGUACUAGGCUACCAAGUCCGUUGAAUAUUGGUUUAGGGUCGACAUAACAAUGUUCAAGAUGUAGGUCUGUCAAAUGAUGCAACGAGAAGACACACAAGGGUAAACGAUACGAGUUGCAACCCAAAAAGUCGAGUGUUAAUCUCUUGAGAGUAUGGUUCCUUGACAAAUGAAGUAGUAUUUGAUCAAUUUCAAAACAGGUCUCAUCCGGAUAUAUCGAAAUGGUGAACUCCUGUAUUGUAGCUUGGCGCUGUAACAAAACUUGGUGUAUAGCAUAGAAAAGUUUACACCUCAUUUCCUUCUCUCUCCUUUCACGUUCUAAUUCAGAUAUUUUCUUCCGAUUAGACAAAUGCCACUUUUCAGUUGACAUUUUCACAGUGUCCUCGAGAAACACGAGUUUAGGAAUUGUGGUCCAUUUGAACCUCCAUUCCCUUGAGAGGAUACUUGUUCUUGCUGCUUCUUCAAUAGGUAAAAGACAUAGGAUGAUUUCUAUUAUGGUUUGUGGAAGCGUAGUGAUUCUAUCCACUCGCUGAGCUCUAGACGAACGUUGAACUUUAGACAGACGUUUAGCUU
RNAcentral lists this long non-coding RNA (789 nucleotides) under Helianthus annuus (common sunflower). RNAcentral describes it as "hypothetical non coding rna". The record is from RNAcentral. Lineage: Eukaryota; Viridiplantae; Streptophyta; Magnoliopsida; Asterales; Asteraceae.